Molecule: long non-coding RNA, 348 nt
Filed under: Cricetulus griseus (Chinese hamster)
Lineage: Eukaryota; Metazoa; Chordata; Mammalia; Rodentia; Cricetidae
Description: lncRNA (ENSCGRG00000025073.1)
Source: RNAcentral
GUAAAAUCUAGUUAAAUUUUGUGAGUACUUUCCAUCGAAGCUCAAGAGGAUUCUUACUAUUUUACUGACAUCAGUGACUGCCAAGCCCCCAGUACCAGUCUUGCCUCCAUCCACGAGAAGAGGACAGACAUCAGAGUAUUGGAACUGUUUGCCUUUACCAGAAAGGAACCUUGGUCCUGCCCCCACCAGGAGAGGAAGAGACUCCUGCUAUACCUACCAGAAGAAAGGAUGGGAAGAAGACAAUAUAAAAGCACUUUCAACAAUAGAAAAUACCAGCGGAGACUAGGGACCCUACACCAGCAAGACCUGAACAUCACAAUGCAGAUGAAGCAGAAGAAGAUGACCUGA